ACGAACGCUGGCGGCGUGCUUAACACAUGCAAGUCGAACGGAAAGGCCCUGCUUUUGUGGGGUGCUCGAGUGGCGAACGGGGGAGUAACACGUGAGUAACCUGCCCUUGACUUUGGGAUAACUUCAGGAAACUGGGGCUAAUACCGGAUAGGAGCUCCUGCUGCAUGGUGGGGGUUGGAAAGUUUCGGCGGUUGGGGAUGGACUCGCGGCUUAUCAGCUUGGUGGUGGGGUAGUGGCUUACCAAGGCUUUGACGGGUAGCCGGCCUGAGAGGGUGACCGGCCCCCUUGGGACUGCGGUACGGCCCAGACUCCUACGGGAGGCAGCAGUGGGGAAUAUUGCACAAUGGGCGGAAGCCUGAUGCAGCAACGCCGCGUGCGGGAUGACGGCCUUCGGGUUGUAAACCGCUUUCGCCUGUGACGAAGCGUGAGUGACGGUAAUGGGUAAAGAAGCACCGGCUAACUACGUG
Molecule: ribosomal RNA, 467 nt
Filed under: uncultured bacterium
Lineage: Bacteria
Description: partial 16S ribosomal RNA
Rfam family: Bacterial small subunit ribosomal RNA
Source: RNAcentral